CCCUAAAUCAUAUUCCCAUCUCUCCCACGAAGCCACGAUCCGCCGCCACCAUCCAUGUGCUCGACAAAGGAUUCCUCAUCUGCUCCACCACAUUCAGGCGGCACCAUCGUCGGGGCGAGUCACCCACCUCCUCUCCUCCUCUCUCCCACCUCAACCGUGCACUAGUCGCCAACUUCUCCAAGCGCCGCUGCGACGAGCUCUUCCAGCCGCACCUCUGUUCCCUCCCACGACGGCCGUCCGACGAGGCGUGACGCGCUACCUACUACCUGUCUGGCGCGGAAGGCGGACGCUCGCGCCGCCGCCUGAGGACCGCAUCCUCGUCCUCCGCAGCCGGAACCGUGACGCCGAUAUCCUCAACUGCAUCGGAUCCUCAAUCGCUAGACUGGAACGCGUCGACUCGUGCGCCGACGUCGGCGACCGAUGGCGGCAGCACGAGCUCCCGUGCGAUGUCCUUCUCGACAUCGCCCCCCUGCAACGAGCUACCGCUCGCCUAUCCCCGUCGCCCCAUCUCCCCAAGCUCCAAGUCGUGGCCUCCACGCCCUCUCCCUCUCUGCUCUGUUUGUCUAUAAAUAUAUUUCUUCCGAUUCGAUUUUUUCCACAAUUCUCCCGAGCAUUUGAUAUAUGCAGGAGGCCAUUGCGGUGCUUGCUUUGUUGAUGUGUGGCUCUGUUGCCGGCGCGUCGUCAGCCAACAUCGUAGCCACCGGCGGCUAGAGAUCCUUACAUCACAGGAAGAAACAAUUGGGUGGAGCAAAGAACAUAAUCUGAAUGGUUUGCUGUCUGGAGAACAGGUAUUUCACCCUACUCUGUGAGGUUUUUUACUUUGGUCAACAUGUUCAUGACUGGAAUCGUGGUACCUUUAUCGCCGCGGACGAGCCAUCCUGCAGCUGCUCUACUCCCAGGUUCCACCUCUCCAUCAGAUUUCAUGAUCUUCAAGUGCUGUGAUUUUAGGGAUAUUAAUCUAGGCAUGUGCUCUAGAUCAAUUUCCAAUUUUUUUAGUUGUGAAUUGUGCUGUAAUAAAUUUAGAUCAUUUGUAAUUUUUUCUUGAGAAAAGUAUAUGAUGUAAUAUAUCAAUUAUAUACUCGGAGAGGAGCUUUUGUAAUUUCCUGGAUCUUUCAGAACAUCAUAUCGUUUAAUGAGAAACUAAUUCUAACAAUUCAAGCA
This is a long non-coding RNA of Brachypodium distachyon (stiff brome), 1161 nucleotides long. RefSeq lists it as uncharacterized. NCBI's taxonomy places the organism in Eukaryota, Viridiplantae, Streptophyta, Magnoliopsida, Poales, Poaceae. The record is from RefSeq and is a predicted model, not a curated record. The transcript is spliced from 3 exons.